Molecule: non-coding RNA, 164 nt
Organism: Paramuricea clavata
Lineage: Eukaryota; Metazoa; Cnidaria; Anthozoa; Malacalcyonacea; Plexauridae
Source: the annotation of a GenBank genome assembly
AUAUCAAAGCAGCGAAUAGAGAGAGAGCCUGGGACUAGGCUGCAUUACUGUAUAUGAUUAAUUCAUUGUAGGCCUAUUGAUAGCCGUCGUCCUGACGUCGCCGUCUCACAUUCGUAAACUCCCAACCUAGUCCCAGGCUCUCUCUCUAUUCGCUGCUUUGAUAU